CAAAAAAAACCUGCCUAUGUGACAGCACAGGGGGACUGCUGAAUCACAGCCUGAACCUCUGACUGAGCACCUGAGGUGAGCAAUGAGUCAGCCCUGGGAGCACAGGUGAAGGCAAUUCUCCUGUGCUGCCGGAAGGGGUGGAGCCUGGCUGCACCUCUCCUAGAGCCAUUUAAGGGCUUACUACUGAGGGGAGGGAUCUCUUCUGAAGAUCCGCUGUGCUGGAAUUUCAUAAGUGAGCCCAGGAUAUGGGUGCAUUUCACACUUCUGCCUACGUACUGUAUUUACUAAACUAGAGAGGAACAGCAGCUACACUCAGCUGGAUUUCAGAGGCUACUUAGGAUUGGUGCUGUCCCUGAAUGAUUGACAAAUCUCUCCAAUGGGAACUGCUAAAGGUGUGUGCUCUCAUCUGAGCAGCACGAAGGACUCCAAGCUCAUUCUGCACUUUCCGAGGACAUUCCCCCCUCCGCCAGCCAACAGAAGAAGCCAACUGAAUUCUUG
This is a long non-coding RNA of Lagopus muta (rock ptarmigan), 498 nucleotides long. RefSeq lists it as uncharacterized. The transcript has 3 exons. Lineage: Eukaryota; Metazoa; Chordata; Aves; Galliformes; Phasianidae. The record is from RefSeq and is a predicted model, not a curated record.